UUGCCUCGGCGGGAUCUCUGCCCCGGGUGCGUCGCAGCCCCGGACCAAGGCGCCCGCCGGAGGACCAACCAAAACUCUUAUUGUAUACCCCCUCGCGGGUUUUUUUAUAAUCUGAGCCUUCUCGGCGCCUCUCGUAGGCGUUUCGAAAAUGAAUCAAAACUUUCAACAACGGAUCUCUUGGUUCUGGCAUCGAUGAAGAACGCAGCGAAAUGCGAUAAGUAAUGUGAAUUGCAGAAUUCAGUGAAUCAUCGAAUCUUUGAACGCACAUUGCGCCCGCCAGUAUUCUGGCGGGCAUGCCUGUCCGAGCGUCAUUUCAACCCUCGAACCCCUCCGGGGGGUCGGCGUUGGGGAUCGGCCCUCCCUUAGCGGGUGGCCGUCUCCGAAAUACAGUGGCGGCCUCGCCGCAGCCUCUCCUGCGCAGUAGUUUGCACACUCGCAUCGGGAGCGCGGCGCGUCCACAGCCGUUAAACACCCAACUUCUGAAAUGUUGACCUCGGAUCAGGUAGGAAUA
This 511-nucleotide ribosomal RNA is filed under the name Trichoderma harzianum. RNAcentral describes it as "eukaryotic LSU rRNA". The stretch from base 158 to 311 matches the Rfam family "5.8S ribosomal RNA". Lineage: Eukaryota; Fungi; Ascomycota; Sordariomycetes; Hypocreales; Hypocreaceae. The record is from RNAcentral.